GCCGGGCGAGGUGGCACAUGCCUGUAAUCCCAGCUGCUCGGGAGGCUGAGACAGGAGGAUCAGAGUUCAAAGCCAGCCCAGCAAAAGCAGGGCAAUAAGCAACUCAGUGAGACCUUGUCUCUA
Molecule: small RNA, 123 nt
Filed under: Marmota monax (woodchuck)
Lineage: Eukaryota; Metazoa; Chordata; Mammalia; Rodentia; Sciuridae
Source: RNAcentral